GGCCACCUUUCAAAAGGGGGCUUGAACAUAGGCGGAGAUGCCCGAAGGGCCUUCGCCGUUAGCAAACGGAAGACAGAAA
Molecule: non-coding RNA, 79 nt
Filed under: unclassified sequences
Description: L2-Alphaproteobacteria ribosomal protein leader
Rfam family: L2-Alphaproteobacteria ribosomal protein leader
Source: RNAcentral